UACGUAGGUGGCAAGCGUUAUCCGGAUUUACUGGGUGUAAAGGGCGUGUAGGCGGGAUGGUAAGUCAGAUGUGAAAACUAUGGGCUCAACCCAUAGCCUGCAUUUGAAACUAUCGUUCUUGAGUGUUGGAGAGGCAGGCGGAAUUCCGUGUGUAGCGGUGAAAUGCGUAGAUAUCACGCAGAACUCCGAUUGCGAAGGCAGCAUACCGGCGCCCGACUGACGCUGAAGCACGAAAGCGUGGGUAUCGAACAGG
RNAcentral lists this ribosomal RNA (253 nucleotides) under uncultured Oscillospira sp. RNAcentral describes it as "partial 16S ribosomal RNA". It matches the Rfam family "Bacterial small subunit ribosomal RNA", at positions 524 to 776 of the family's 1533-position model. The record is from RNAcentral. Lineage: Bacteria; Bacillati; Bacillota; Clostridia; Eubacteriales; Oscillospiraceae.